CCUACGGUAGGCAGCAGUGGGGAAUAUUUGGCAAUGGGCGCAAGCCUGACCCCGCAACGCCGCGUGAAGGCAGAAGGCUUUCGGGUUGUACACUUCUUUUGUCAGGGACGAGUAGAAGACGGUACCUGACGAAUAAGCCACGGCUAACUACGUGCCAGCAGCCGCGGUAAUACGUAGGUGGCAAGCGUUGUCCGGAUUUACUGGGUGUAAAGGGCGUGUAGCCGGGUUGACAAGUCAGAUGUGAAAUCCUGCGGCUUAACCGCAGAACUGCAUGUGAAACUGUUGAUCUUGAGUACUGGAGAGGCAGACGGAAGUCCUAGUGUAGCGGUGAAAUGCGUAGAUAUUAGGAGGAACACCAGUGGCGAAGGCGGUCUGCUGGACAGCAACUGACGGUGAGGCGCGAAAGCGUGGGGAGCAAACAGGAUUAAAUACCCCGGUAGUC
This 442-nucleotide ribosomal RNA is filed under the name uncultured bacterium. RNAcentral describes it as "partial 16S ribosomal RNA". It matches the Rfam family "Bacterial small subunit ribosomal RNA", at positions 338 to 795 of the family's 1533-position model. The record is from RNAcentral.